RNAcentral lists this long non-coding RNA (2222 nucleotides) under Neogobius melanostomus (round goby). RNAcentral's name for it is "lncRNA (ENSNMLG00000027227.1)". Lineage: Eukaryota; Metazoa; Chordata; Actinopteri; Gobiiformes; Gobiidae. The record is from RNAcentral.
GGAAAACCCUGGACUAUUUUCAAAAAAUAUUUUUUUGUUACCCAGUGUUAUGAUGAUCUGCACUGGCGUUGACCUGUCUCCAAUGAUACUGCUACAGAAACAAAACAAAAAUGUUUAUUCCGUUCUCCGCAGUGACACACUUACAAGAGUACGGUGCAAAGAGAGCCUGCCCGGUGUUCUGUUUUGCACCCUUGUCAAGAUGUGCAUAUCCUCACGCAAAACAACGGCUUUGACACGUGUGAGAGAGAAAUGCUCCCUUUUCUUUCACAAAAUGUACUCCUUUUGUCAUUAUCAUAUGUUUUACUUUAUUUAAUGUUCAAACUUGGAGAGUUUCUAUAAUUUGUACAGUGCUCCAGCUGUAAAUGUAAGGCACAUGAAGCUUAUGAUUUCUUGUUGUUCAUGUUUACCUUAUAUUGCAUUUAGCCGAUGAAUCAAAAUAGCUUUAUGAUAUUCCCAAUACAACAUCAUGUUAUGGGCUCUUUUUGCCGCUGACAUUUAGAUCUAGAGCAUGUUACUCUUUCAUAAAUAUUCAAAAAUAUUCUAGUUUUAACUUAAGUAAAUAAGCAGGAAAAUAUAACAAUGAAGCUGCUGAAAUAAAUAACAGUUUGAUGGUUUUGUGAAAGACAAGGGAGCAUUUUGCUCUUACAUGUCCCAAAGCAGUUGUUUAUGUGUGAGGAGAUGCAAACCUUGAUAACGGUGCACGAUUCGGCAGAACAACAGAACUUCCAUUGUUGUCAUUGCUGCCUGUGCUGUCCUCCACAAAAGAAGACCUGCAGACCUGCACACUGGGCCAAUGCUGUUGUCACCGUCAUAUACUCAAAGUCUGAAACAGUUUCCAAUGGGAUAAACCAGGCACAACAAUGUCUUAAUAAAGUGAAUGUUCUUCAUUCAUUUAUUUGCUGGUGUAAAUACAAAACAAGUUUAGUUUACAGCUGUGCCAAAUAUAGAAACUUCUACUUUACACGUCCUUAGCACUGAGAAGAGCAUUUAAAACAAUGUCCCAGAGGAAUAUACAUUUGACCCAAUAUACUGUAGAAUAUAAUUUUCCGUUUGUGAGACUAAAAUAAACCCUUAUGGUAUAUACCAAGAUAGGAAUAUUUGUGUAUACUAACUAGUUCAUACUAGUUAAUAUUUGUAUUAUGAAAAGAUGCAUGAAAAUUUAAGAACAAUAACCCUGAGGCCAGCUAUAGUGCUAUACUGCGUUUAAGCAGUAGGUGGCCGAACCUAUCCAAUUUUGCAUUUAAAAUGUGACUGUCUGUAAAAAGGUAACUUUGAGAGAAGUCACUGUGGAUUUCAUCUAACGGAUUUCUUUGAAGGGCUCCACACUAUGUCUUAUGUUAUUUUUACAAAAUCUUUUGUGGAGCAGUGGUGUCUGACUGUUGGAGCAAUGAUAUAAAAAACACUUCUGAAAAUAAACAUUGUCUUCUUAAUGAUGGAUUGCUUUGAUAUCAGUUGAGUUUUUGGGGUAUUUUUUAUUCUCUUAACAAAAAAACAAGCAUAGACAGCACCUUACUGUCAUUGAUACUGUGAUAACUACAAGGCAAACUAGUUUGGAUACUGGGAUAUUAACAUGUCAUUUAUCAUUUGAGACAAAUAGUUCUAAGUGGUAAAUAAGAUGGAGAUAGGUUUAGCUUAAUAGUUUAAGUAUUAAUAAGGCUACAUAGUCAACAAUAGCCGUGUGUAGCAACAUUAGCGUUAGCUGAGGGAGCAGCUGACAGUCAGGCAAUUGCCUUUCUGCUCCCACUUUAGACAAACCAUAAAUGCAUUAAAUAUCCAGAAGAACAUUUUGUACAGCCCUCCAAACACACAAUAAUAAUCAUAAGGCAAACUUAAAAAUAUAUAUAUAUAAAAAGCGUAGAGAUUAAGGAAAACACGAUCAAAACAAACCACUCGGCACUCGCUGCGUCUCACCUCAUAGCCCUAUAGUCACGUCAUGUCACGUGAUUUUAUCAAACCCGGAAGUGCUCUUGAUUUUAUCGCUUAUUUGUUUAUUAACACAGCAAUGUGUUGUUUUAAGACUCAUAUAUUGUUACUCGGACAAUGAGAAAACAGAUUAAAUACGAAUUUCAAAAAACUAUUAACCUGACAUAUGCACUUUAACAUCUGCAGCCACAAGUCUGUAAAAGAAUCCUGAAUCCUGUAUGUAUGUAGUCAUUUUCAGAACUUUAAUCAAAUGCUUUCUGGAGUAUCUCCAAAUCGAUUGGGAAUCCAGAGAUUCAAAC